CCACUUCUUCGUCACCUUUCUGCACCGCCUCAUCAUCUCCGACUCCGGUUCUUCUUUUCCUUUCUCCUCGCUUUUUCCGCCUCACCAUUUUGGCUUCUGAUGUGAGGAAGUAGCCGACGAAUUUGGGCUAGGAUCUGGAGACGACGAAACCAGGAAAUACUAAGGUAAAUUAAUUCAAAUUGGUUAUUAUUGUGUGAGAGAUCAAGAUUGAUAGAUGGAGUGAUGUCCGAGGGAAUUCUUAUCUCAUCAUCUCAGCAAUAUUGCUCUUCAACACGAGACUAAUUGGAGAUGGACAAUGAGAAGAAAGUAGGAGACAUAUCUGGCUUUUUCUUUUCCUUUUGAACUAUUUCUUAUUCAUGUUAGUCUUAGGGUUAUGUGAAUUUCUGGGUGUUCUUGAUGGAAUCGGUUCGCUCCCGGCGAUCAGGCAUGCCACAAUGGAUCGCUGGGAAUCGUUUUGAUCUGAUGAAGCAUAACGUGAAUUUGAGUAUUUGAUUUUUCUUUUCGUUUUUGUUUUUCAAAUUUUCUCAUCCAUUUAUUUUUUGGUUUGAUUCACUUCUGCAUGUACCUGGUAAGAGGGGAAGAGUACCGGUGUCUUCUUUUGAGUUUUGGAUGGUAGGAUUUUGAACAUAACAAAAGGAUUAAAGGAGUCUGGGUUUUUCAUCCGAGGUGUUCUAGGUUCAUUCUAUUAUCACAAGUUUUGUGUUCGUCGGAUUGCUUCGGUGUUGGUUUGCAUGUUGACGGUUCCGUCGGUAGCAUCUGCUGUGGACUCUAUUUUGCCUGGAUUGCGAUCUUUGUUCCUCACAAAAAAAAAGAUCUCAACUUCGCUAUUCUGGAGAUGUAUUCUUUUGCAUUGGUUGAUGGAAAGCCAUAUCCUUUGGAUAUGAGAGGUGGGAUAAUAUUAAAUUUCCAAUGCCGAAAGAGUUAUGAGUCCAAUGCAGAAGCUUAUUCAUGGACUAGAUGAG
Fragaria vesca subsp. vesca is the source of this 962-nucleotide RNA transcript. RefSeq lists it as uncharacterized. Lineage: Eukaryota; Viridiplantae; Streptophyta; Magnoliopsida; Rosales; Rosaceae. The transcript has 5 exons. The record is from RefSeq and is a predicted model, not a curated record.